GGACUACCGGGGUAUCUAAUCCUGUUUGCUACCCACGCUUUCGUGUCUCAGCGUCAGAAAUGGUCCAGAAAGCUGUCUACACCGCAGGUGUUCCUCCUGAUAUCUACGCAUUUCACCGCUACACCAGGAAUUCCGCUUUCCUCUCCCACCCUCGAGCACUCCAGUUUUCGCCGCACCCUCCCAGUUAAGCCGGGAGAUUUCACAACAAACUUAGAGCACCGCCUACACACUCUUUACGCCCAGUAAUUCCGAACAACGCUUGCUGCCUACGUAUUACCGCGGCUGCUGGCAC
RNAcentral lists this ribosomal RNA (292 nucleotides) under uncultured Acidobacteriota bacterium. RNAcentral's name for it is "uncultured Acidobacteria bacterium partial 16S ribosomal RNA". Lineage: Bacteria; Pseudomonadati; Acidobacteriota. The record is from RNAcentral.